AACCGGUUUCCAUACAAUCACCGAAGUUAAGCAACGUCGAGCAUGGUCCGUACUUAGAUGGGCGACCGUUUGGGAAUGUCAGGUGCUGUAAG
This is a non-coding RNA of Acanthosepion pharaonis, 92 nucleotides long. NCBI's taxonomy places the organism in Eukaryota, Metazoa, Mollusca, Cephalopoda, Sepiida, Sepiidae. The record is from the annotation of a GenBank genome assembly.